UUUCGGUAAUCUGUCGCUCACGUACAGGCUGCCGGCGAUACUGCAAAGCUAGGGAGUGGGAGAGGUAGACGGUACUCGGUAGGAAGGGGUAAAAUCCUUUGAUCUAUUGAUGACCACCUGUGGCGAAGGCGGUCUACCAGAACACGUCCGACGGUGAGGGAUGAAAGCUGGGGGAGCAAACCGGAUUAGAUACCCGGGUAGUCCCAGCUGUAAACCAUGCAAACUCAGUGAUGCAUUGGCUUGUGGCCAAUGCAGUGCUGCAGGGAAGCCGUUAAGUUUGCCGCCUGGGAAGUACGUACGCAAGUAUGAAACUUAAAGGAAUUGGCGAGGGAGCACCACAAGGGGUGAAGCCUGCGGUUCAAUUGGAGUCAACGCCAGAAAUCUUACCCGGAGAGACAGCAGAAUGAAGGUCAAGCUGAAGACUUUACCAGACAAGCUGAGAGGUGGUGCAUGGCCGUCGCCAGCUCGUGCCGUGAGAUGUCCUGUUAAGUCAGGUAACGAGCGAGAUCCCUGCCUCUAGUUGCCACCAUUACUCUCAGGAGUAGUGGGGCGAAUUAGCGGGACCGCCGCGUUUAAAUGCCGGAG
Molecule: ribosomal RNA, 585 nt
Filed under: uncultured archaeon
Lineage: Archaea
Description: bacterial SSU rRNA
Rfam family: Archaeal small subunit ribosomal RNA
Source: RNAcentral